GCCCAGACUCCUACGGGAGGCAGCAGUGGGGAAUAUUGCGCAAUGGGGGAAACCCUGACGCAGCAACGCCGCGUGAGUGAGGAAGUAUCUCGGUAUGUAAAGCUCUAUCAGCGGGGAAGAAAGAGGACGGUACCCGACUAAGAAGCCCCGGCUAACUACGUGCCAGCAGCCGCGGUAAUACGUAGGGGGCGAGCGUUAUCCGGAUUUACUGGGUGUAAGGGGAGCGUAGACGGCCAGACAAGUCUGAAGUGAAAAUCCAGCGCUUAACGUUGGAAGUGCUUUGGAAACUGCCGGGCUAGAGUGCAGGAGGGGCAGGCGGAAUUCCUAGUGUAGCGGUGAAAUGCGUAGAUAUUAGGAGGAACACCAGUGGCGAAGGCGGCCUGCUGGACUGCAACUGACGUUGAGGCUCGAAGGCGUGGGGAGCAAACAGGAUUAGAUACCCUCGUA
This 447-nucleotide ribosomal RNA is filed under the name uncultured bacterium. RNAcentral describes it as "bacterial SSU rRNA". It matches the Rfam family "Bacterial small subunit ribosomal RNA", at positions 329 to 792 of the family's 1533-position model. The record is from RNAcentral.